Non-coding RNA from Cercophora sp. LCS_1, 84 nucleotides. The record is from the annotation of a GenBank genome assembly. Lineage: Eukaryota; Fungi; Ascomycota; Sordariomycetes; Sordariales; Lasiosphaeriaceae.
GCGGCGUUGGUGUAAUGGUUAGCAUCUAAGCUUCCCACUUGUGUGAGAUUGCUUAGGACCCGAGUUCGAUUCUUGGACGCCGCA